AGCAGCCGCGGUAAUUCCAGCUCCAAUAGCGUAUAUUAAAGUUGUUGCAGUUAAAAAGCUCGUAGUUGAAUUUCGGGGUUAGUAGGUUGGUCAUGCCUCUGGUAUGUACUGGUCUCACUGAUUCCUCCUUCCUGAUGAGCCGUAAUGCCAUUAAUUUGGUGUUGCGGGGAAUUUGGACUGUUACUUUGAAAAAUUAGAGUGUUUAAAGCAAGCUAACGCUUGAAUACAUUAGCAUGGAAUAAUGAAAUAGGACGUUCGAUCCUAUUUUGUUGGUUUCUAGGAUUGACGUAAUGAUUAAUAGGGAUAGUUGGGGGCAUUAGUACUCAAUUGUCAGAGGUGAAAUUCUUGGAUUUAUUGAAGACUAACUACUGCGAAAGCAUUUGCCAAGGAUGUUUUCAUUAAUCAAGAACGAAAGUUAGGGAUCGAAGACGAUCAGAUACCGUCGUAGUC
RNAcentral lists this unclassified non-coding RNA (450 nucleotides) under uncultured Entrophospora. RNAcentral describes it as "SSU rRNA". It matches the Rfam family "Eukaryotic small subunit ribosomal RNA", at positions 569 to 1025 of the family's 1831-position model. The record is from RNAcentral. Lineage: Eukaryota; Fungi; Glomeromycota; Glomeromycetes; Entrophosporales; Entrophosporaceae.